GAUGAACGCUAGCGGCAGGCUUAAUACAUGCAAGUCGAGGGGCAGCAUGGUGUAGCAAUACACUGAUGGCGACCGGCAAACGGGUGCGGAACACGUACAGAACCUUCCUUCGAGCGGGGAAUAGCCCAGAGAAAUUUGGAUUAAUACCCCAUAGUAUAUUGGAGUGGCAUCACUUUAGUAUUAAAGAUUUAUCACUUGAAGAUGGCUGUGCGGCUGAUUAGGUAGUUGGCGGGGUAACGGCCCACCAAGCCUGCGAUCAGUAACUGGUGUGAGAGCACGACCAGUCACACGGGCACUGAGACACGGGCCCGACUCCUACGGGAGGCAGCAGUAAGGAAUAUUGGUCAAUGGACGAAAGUCUGAACCAGCCAUGCCGCGUGGAGGAUGAAGGUCCUCUGGAUUGUAAACUUCUUUUAUAUGGGACGAAAAAAGGGCUUUCUAGCUCGUCUGACGGUACCAUAUGAAUAAGCACCGGCUAACUCCGUGCCAGCAGCCG
RNAcentral lists this ribosomal RNA (496 nucleotides) under uncultured bacterium. RNAcentral's name for it is "bacterial SSU rRNA". It matches the Rfam family "Bacterial small subunit ribosomal RNA", at positions 28 to 517 of the family's 1533-position model. The record is from RNAcentral.